Molecule: ribosomal RNA, 332 nt
Filed under: uncultured eukaryote
Lineage: Eukaryota
Description: partial 18S ribosomal RNA
Rfam family: Eukaryotic small subunit ribosomal RNA
Source: RNAcentral
CAAUAGCGUAUAUUAAAGUUGUUGCAGUUAAAAAGCUCGUAGUUGAAUUUCGGGUCCCCGCGCUCGGCGCUUCAUUGUGCCGUCGUGGUGUCCCUCCUCGCCGUCAGGCGUCCUUUACUGUGAAAAAAUUAGAGUGUUCAAAGCAGGCAAUCGCUUGAAUACAUUAGCAUGGAAUAAUAAGAUAGGAUCUUGUCUAUUUUGUUGGUUGCGGACAAUGAUAAUGAUUAAUAGGGAUAGUUGGGGGUGUCCGUAUUGAGCUGUCAGAGGUGAAAUUCUUGGAUUUGCUCAAGACGAACUACUGCGAAAGCAUUCACCAAGGAUGUUUUCAUUAA